AGUGAACGCUGGCGGUAGGCCUAACACAUGCAAGUCGAACGGCAGCACAGUAAGAGCUUGCUCUUACGGGUGGCGAGUGGCGGACGGGUGAGGGAUACAUCGGAAUCUACUUUUUCGUGGGGGAUAACGUAGGGAAACUUACGCUAAUACCGCAUACGAGCUACGGGUGAAAGCAGGGGAUCUUCGGACCUUGCGCGAUUGAAUGAGCCGAUGUCGGAUUAGCUAGUUGGCGGGGUAAAGGCCCACCAAGGCGACGAUCCGUAGCUGGUCUGACAGGGUGAUCAGCCAACCUGGAACUUGGACAAGGUCCAGACUCCUACGGGAGGCAACAGUGGGGAAUAUUGGACAAUGGGCGGAAGCCUGAUCCAGCCAUACCGCGUGGGUGAAGAAGGCCUUCGGGUUGUAAAGCCCUUUUGUUGAGAAAGAAAAGCAGCAGGUUAAUACCCCGCUGUUCUGACGGUACCCAAAGAAUAAGCACCGGCUAACUUCGUG
RNAcentral lists this ribosomal RNA (492 nucleotides) under uncultured bacterium. Its description in RNAcentral is "partial 16S ribosomal RNA". It matches the Rfam family "Bacterial small subunit ribosomal RNA", at positions 29 to 507 of the family's 1533-position model. The record is from RNAcentral.